GUGGGGAAUAUUGGACAAUGGGGGGAACCCUGAUCCAGCCAUGCCGCGUGUGUGAAGAAGGCCUUUUGGUUGUAAAGCACUUUAAGCGAGGAGGAGGCUACCGAGAUUAAUACUCUUGGAUAGUGGACGUUACUCGCAGAAUAAGCACCGGCUAACUCUGUGCCAGCAGCCGCGGUAAUACAGAGGGUGCAAGCGUUAAUCGGAUUUACUGGGCGUAAAGCGCGUGUAGGUGGCCAAUUAAGUCAAAUGUGAAAUCCCCGAGCUUAACUUGGGAAUUGCAUUCGAUACUGGUUGGCUAGAGUAUGGGAGAGGAUGUUAGAAUUUCAGGUGUAGCGGUGAAAUGCGUAGAGAUCUGGAGGAAUACCGAUGGCGAAGGCAGCCAUCUGGCCUAAUACUGACACUGAGGUGCGAAAGCAUGGGGAGCAAACAGGAUUAGAUACCCUGGUAGUCC
RNAcentral lists this ribosomal RNA (451 nucleotides) under uncultured bacterium. Its description in RNAcentral is "bacterial SSU rRNA". It matches the Rfam family "Bacterial small subunit ribosomal RNA", at positions 354 to 796 of the family's 1533-position model. The record is from RNAcentral.